This 253-nucleotide ribosomal RNA is filed under the name uncultured bacterium. RNAcentral's name for it is "partial 16S ribosomal RNA". It matches the Rfam family "Bacterial small subunit ribosomal RNA", at positions 524 to 776 of the family's 1533-position model. The record is from RNAcentral.
GACGAACCGUACGAACGUUAUUCGGAAUCACUGGGCUUAAAGGGUGCGUAGGCGGCGCAGAAAGUAGGGUGUGAAAUCCCUCGGCUCAACCGAGGAACUGCGCUCUAAACUACUGUGCUCGAGGGAGAUAGAGGUGAGCGGAACUUAGGGUGGAGCGGUGAAAUGCGUUGAUAUCCUAAGGAACACCGGUGGCGAAAGCGGCUCACUGGGUCUUUUCUGACGCUGAGGGACGAAAGCUAGGGGAGCAAACGGG